UGGGGAAUAUUGCGCAAUGGGCGAAAGCCUGACGCAGCGACGCCGCGUGAGGGAUGAAGGUUUUCGGAUCGUAAACCUCUGUCAGAAGGGAAGAAACCGCACUGUGCUAAUCAGCAGUGCCUUGACGGUACCUUCAAAGGAAGCACCGGCUAACUCCGUGCCAGCAGCCGCGGUAAUACGGAGGGUGCAAGCGUUAAUCGGAAUUACUGGGCGUAAAGCGCACGUAGGCUGCUUUGUAAGUCAGGGGUGAAAUCCCACGGCUCAACCGUGGGACUGCCUUUGAUACUGCUUAGCUUGAAUCCGGGAGAGGGUGGCGGAAUUCCAGGUGUAGGAGUGAAAUCCGUAGAUAUCUGGAGGAACAUCAGUGGCGAAGGCGGCCACCUGGACCGGUAUUGACGCUGAGGUGCGAAAGCGUGGGGAGCAAACAGG
RNAcentral lists this ribosomal RNA (429 nucleotides) under Fusobacteriota bacterium. RNAcentral's name for it is "Fusobacteria bacterium partial 16S ribosomal RNA". It matches the Rfam family "Bacterial small subunit ribosomal RNA", at positions 355 to 776 of the family's 1533-position model. Lineage: Bacteria; Fusobacteriati; Fusobacteriota. The record is from RNAcentral.